RNAcentral lists this unclassified non-coding RNA (1154 nucleotides) under Hevea brasiliensis (rubber tree). Lineage: Eukaryota; Viridiplantae; Streptophyta; Magnoliopsida; Malpighiales; Euphorbiaceae. The record is from RNAcentral.
AUAGUACACAGUGGCUCUCUGCAAAACUUGCAGCUCAUAGUGUAAGCUUCAAAGAGCCCAAAAAUGGCGGAGAAGAAUCGAUUAGUCACCGUUGCUGCUUUGCAGUUCGCCUGUACCGACGAUGUCUCCACCAACGUCGCUACCGCCGAGAGAUUGGUUAGAGCUGCUCAUCAGAAGGGUGCAAAUAUCAUCCUCAUACAGGAGUUGUUCGAGGGCUAUUACUUUUGUCAAGCACAAAAGGAGGAGUUCUUUCAUCGAGCAAAACCAUAUCCGGGCCAUCCAACCAUUGUUAGGAUGCAGAAUCUUGCAAAGGAGCUUGGAGUAGUUAUUCCAGUUAGUUUCUUUGAAGAGGCAAAUAAUGCGCAUUACAAUUCUGUGGCUAUAAUUGAUGCUGAUGGCACAGAUCUUGGACUUUACAGGAAGUCCCAUAUUCCUGAUGGACCCGGUUAUCAGGAAAAGUAUUACUUCAAUCCCGGUGACACUGGUUUUAAGGUAUUCCAGACAAAAUAUGCAAAAAUUGGAGUUGCAAUUUGCUGGGAUCAGUGGUUUCCUGAGGCUGCUCGAGCUAUGGCACUUCAAGGUGCAGAAGUAUUGUUCUACCCUACUGCAAUUGGUUCUGAACCUCAAGAUGAUGGACUUGAUUCUCGGGAUCACUGGAGGAGGGUGAUGCAAGGACACGCUGGUGCUAAUGUGGUACCUUUAGUGGCGUCAAACCGCAUUGGAAAGGAGAUAAUUGAGACAGAGCAUGGGAAUAGUGAGAUAACAUUCUACGGCUACUCUUUCAUAGCAGGCCCCACUGGGGAGUUGGUUGCAGCUGCCGGUGAUAAAGAGGAAGCUGUUCUUGUAGCUCAGUUUGAUCUGGACAAAAUCAAGUCCAAAAGGCAUGGUUGGGGGGUGUAUCGUGAUCGACGUCCUGAUUUAUAUAAGGUUCUUUUGACGCUAGAUGGCAGCAACCCAGUCAAGUGAUUCAAGAUGAUCUAAGUACUGCAGAUUCUCCUGCCUUUUUUUUUAAAAAUUAUAAGAAUAAAAAUAUGAGGACUCAAAUGAGAAAUUUGUAUUUGAGUUUUGUUGUAAUGUAACUCGUUAAUUUCUGUAAUCUGCUGCAUUCUACUUUUUAUGUAAGGCAAAAUUUGUUGAGUUUGAAUCCUGCAACG